RNAcentral lists this ribosomal RNA (2346 nucleotides) under Salmonella enterica. Its description in RNAcentral is "partial 23S ribosomal RNA". It matches the Rfam family "Bacterial large subunit ribosomal RNA", at positions 599 to 2925 of the family's 2925-position model. Lineage: Bacteria; Pseudomonadati; Pseudomonadota; Gammaproteobacteria; Enterobacterales; Enterobacteriaceae. The record is from RNAcentral.
GCGUACCUUUUGUAUAAUGGGUCAGCGACUUAUAUUCUGUAGCAAGGUUAACCGAAUAGGGGAGCCGGAGGGAAACCGAGUCUUAAUUGGGCGUUAAGUUGCAGGGUAUAGACCCGAAACCCGGUGAUCUAGCCAUGGGCAGGUUGAAGGUUGGGUAACACUAACUGGAGGACCGAACCGACUAAUGUUGAAAAAUUAGCGGAUGACCUGUGGCUGGGGGUGAAAGGCCAAUCAAACCGGGAGAUAGCUGGUUCUCCCCGAAAGCUAUUUAGGUAGCGCCUCGUGAAUUCAUCUCCGGGGGUAGAGCACUGUUUCGGCUAGGGGGCCAUCCCGGCUUACCAACCCGAUGCAAACUGCGAAUACCGGAGAAUGUUAUCACGGGAGACACACGGCGGGUGCUAACGUCCGUCGUGAAGAGGGAAACAACCCAGACCGCCAGCUAAGGUCCCAAAGUCAUGGUUAAGUGGGAAACGAUGUGGGAAGGCCCAGACAGCCAGGAUGUUGGCUUAGAAGCAGCCAUCAUUUAAAGAAAGCGUAAUAGCUCACUGGUCGAGUCGGCCUGCGCGGAAGAUGUAACGGGGCUAAACCAUGCACCGAAGCUGCGGCAGCGACACUCAGGUGUUGUUGGGUAGGGGAGCGUUCUGUAAGCCUGCGAAGGUGGCCUGUGAGGGUUGCUGGAGGUAUCAGAAGUGCGAAUGCUGACAUAAGUAACGAUAAAGCGGGUGAAAAGCCCGCUCGCCGGAAGACCAAGGGUUCCUGUCCAACGUUAAUCGGGGCAGGGUGAGUCGACCCCUAAGGCGAGGCCGAAAGGCGUAGUCGAUGGGAAACGGGUUAAUAUUCCCGUACUUGGUGUUACUGCGAAGGGGGGACGGAGAAGGCUAUGUUGGCCGGGCGACGGUUGUCCCGGUUUAAGCGUGUAGGCUGGUUUUCCAGGCAAAUCCGGAAAAUCAAGGCUGAGGCGUGACGACGAGGCACUACGGUGCUGAAGCAACAAAUGCCCUGCUUCCAGGAAAAGCCUCUAAGCAUCAGGUAACACGAAAUCGUACCCCAAACCGACACAGGUGGUCAGGUAGAGAAUACCAAGGCGCUUGAGAGAACUCGGGUGAAGGAACUAGGCAAAAUGGUGCCGUAACUUCGGGAGAAGGCACGCUGACAUGUAGGUGAAGUGAUUUACUCAUGGAGCUGAAGUCAGUCGAAGAUACCAGCUGGCUGCAACUGUUUAUUAAAAACACAGCACUGUGCAAACACGAAAGUGGACGUAUACGGUGUGACGCCUGCCCGGUGCCGGAAGGUUAAUUGAUGGGGUCAGCGCAAGCGAAGCUCCUGAUCGAAGCCCCGGUAAACGGCGGCCGUAACUAUAACGGUCCUAAGGUAGCGAAAUUCCUUGUCGGGUAAGUUCCGACCUGCACGAAUGGCGUAAUGAUGGCCAGGCUGUCUCCACCCGAGACUCAGUGAAAUUGAACUCGCUGUGAAGAUGCAGUGUACCCGCGGCAAGACGGAAAGACCCCGUGAACCUUUACUAUAGCUUGACACUGAACAUUGAGCCUUGAUGUGUAGGAUAGGUGGGAGGCUUUGAAGUGUGGACGCCAGUCUGCAUGGAGCCGACCUUGAAAUACCACCCUUUAAUGUUUGAUGUUCUAACGUGGACCCGUGAUCCGGGUUGCGGACAGUGUCUGGUGGGUAGUUUGACUGGGGCGGUCUCCUCCUAAAGAGUAACGGAGGAGCACGAAGGUUGGCUAAUCCUGGUCGGACAUCAGGAGGUUAGUGCAAUGGCAUAAGCCAGCUUGACUGCGAGCGUGACGGCGCGAGCAGGUGCGAAAGCAGGUCAUAGUGAUCCGGUGGUUCUGAAUGGAAGGGCCAUCGCUCAACGGAUAAAAGGUACUCCGGGGAUAACAGGCUGAUACCGCCCAAGAGUUCAUAUCGACGGCGGUGUUUGGCACCUCGAUGUCGGCUCAUCACAUCCUGGGGCUGAAGUAGGUCCCAAGGGUAUGGCUGUUCGCCAUUUAAAGUGGUACGCGAGCUGGGUUUAGAACGUCGUGAGACAGUUCGGUCCCUAUCUGCCGUGGGCGCUGGAGAACUGAGGGGGGCUGCUCCUAGUACGAGAGGACCGGAGUGGACGCAUCACUGGUGUUCGGGUUGUCAUGCCAAUGGCACUGCCCGGUAGCUAAAUGCGGAAGAGAUAAGUGCUGAAAGCAUCUAAGCACGAAACUUGCCCCGAGAUGAGUUCUCCCUGAGACUUUAGGUCUCCUGAAGGAACGUUGAAGACGACGACGUUGAUAGGCCGGGUGUGUAAGCGCAGCGAUGCGUUGAGCUAACCGGUACUAAUGAACCGUGAGGCUUAACCUU